CCUACGGGGUGCAGCAGUGGGGAAUAUUGCACAAUGGGCGCAAGCCUGAUGCAGCCAUGCCGCGUGUGUGAAGAAGGCCUUCGGGUUGUAAAGCACUUUCAGCGGGGAGGAAGGCGGUGAGGCUAAUAACCUCAUCGAUUGACGUUACCCGCAGAAGAAGCACCGGCUAACUCCGUGCCAGCAGCCGCGGUAAUACGGAGGGUGCAAGCGUUAAUCGGAAUUACUGGGCGUAAAGCGCACGCAGGCGGUCUGUCAAGUCGGAUGUGAAAUCCCCGGGCUCAACCUGGGAACUGCAUUCGAAACUGGCAGGCUAGAGUCUUGUAGAGGGGGGUAGAAUUCCAGGUGUAGCGGUGAAAUGCGUAGAGAUCUGGAGGAAUACCGGUGGCGAAGGCGGCCCCCUGGACAAAGACUGACGCUCAGGUGCGAAAGCGUGGGGAGCAAACAGGAUUAGAUACCCUAGUAGUC
RNAcentral lists this ribosomal RNA (465 nucleotides) under uncultured Klebsiella sp. Its description in RNAcentral is "bacterial SSU rRNA". It matches the Rfam family "Bacterial small subunit ribosomal RNA", at positions 338 to 795 of the family's 1533-position model. Lineage: Bacteria; Pseudomonadati; Pseudomonadota; Gammaproteobacteria; Enterobacterales; Enterobacteriaceae. The record is from RNAcentral.